CCGGUGAUCUAGCCAUGGGCAGGUUGAAGGUUGGGUAACACUAACUGGAGGACCGAACCGACUAAUGUUGAAAAAUUAGCGGAUGACUUGUGGCUGGGGUGAAAGGCCAAUCAAACCGGGAGAUAGCUGGUUCUCCCCGAAAGCUAUUUAGGUAGCGCCUCGUGAACUCAUCUUCGGGGUAGAGCACUGUUUCGGCUAGGGGUCAUCCCGACUUACCAACCCGAUGCAAACUACGAAUACCGAAGAAUGUUAUCACGGGAGACACACGGCGGGUGCUAACGUCCGUCGUGAAGAGGGAAACAACCCAGACCGCCAGCUAAGGUCCCAAAGUCAUGGUUAAGUGGGAAACGAUGUGGGAAGGCACAGACAGCCAGGAUGUUGGCUUAGAAGCAGCCAUCAUUUAAAGAAAGCGUAAUAGCUCACUGGUCGAGUCGGCCUGCGCGGAAGAUGUAACGGGGCUAAACCAUGCACCGAAGCUGCGGCAGCGAC
This 489-nucleotide ribosomal RNA is filed under the name Klebsiella pneumoniae. RNAcentral's name for it is "bacterial LSU rRNA". It matches the Rfam family "Bacterial large subunit ribosomal RNA", at positions 722 to 1212 of the family's 2925-position model. The record is from RNAcentral. Lineage: Bacteria; Pseudomonadati; Pseudomonadota; Gammaproteobacteria; Enterobacterales; Enterobacteriaceae.